Molecule: ribosomal RNA, 497 nt
Filed under: uncultured bacterium
Lineage: Bacteria
Description: partial 16S ribosomal RNA
Rfam family: Bacterial small subunit ribosomal RNA
Source: RNAcentral
GAUGAACGCUGGCGGCGUGCCUAAUACAUGCAAGUCGAGCGAACAGACGAGGAGCUUGCUCCUUCGACGUUAGCGGCGGACGGGUGAGUAACACGUAGGUAACCUACCUAUAAGACUUGGAUAACUUCGGGAAACCGGAGCUAAUACCGGAUAAUAUUUCUAACCGCAUGGUUCGAUAGUGAAAGAUGGCUUUGCUAUCACUUAUAGAUGGACCUGCGCCGUAUUAGCUAGUUGGUAAGGUAACGGCUUACCAAGGCAACGAUACGUAGCCGACCUGAGAGGGUGAUCGGCCACACGGGAACUGAGAAACGGUCCAGACUCCUAAGGGAGGCAGCAGUAGGGAAUCUUCCGCAAUGGGCGAAAGCCUGACGGAGCAACGCCGCGUGAGUGAUGAAGGUCUUCGGAUCGUAAAACUCUGUUAUUAGGGAAGAACAAACGUGUAAGUAACUGUGCACGUCUUGACGGUACCUAAUCAGAAAGCCACGGCUAACUACGUG